GAGUUUGAUCCUGGCUCAGAGCGAACGCUGGCGGCAGGCUUAACACAUGCAGGUCGAACGGGCACUUCGGUGUCAGUGGCAGACGGGUGAGUAACGCGUGGGAACAUACCUCUUGGUUCGGAACAACACAGGGAAACUUGUGCUAAUACCGGAUAAGCCCUUACGGGGAAAGAUUUAUCGCCGAGAGAUUGGCCCGCGUCUGAUUAGCUAGUUGGUGUGGUAAAGGCGCACCAAGGCGACGAUCAGUAGCUGGUCUGAGAGGAUGAUCAGCCACAUUGGGACUGAGACACGGCCCAAACUCCUACGGGAGGCAGCAGUGGGGAAUAUUGGACAAUGGGCGCAAGCCUGAUCCAGCCAUGCCGCGUGAGUGAUGAAGGCCUUAGGGUUGUAAAGCUCUUUUGUACGGGAAGAUAAUGACGGUACCGUAAGAAUAAGCCCCGGCUAACUUCGUGCCAGCAGCCG
Molecule: ribosomal RNA, 462 nt
Filed under: uncultured bacterium
Lineage: Bacteria
Description: bacterial SSU rRNA
Rfam family: Bacterial small subunit ribosomal RNA
Source: RNAcentral